This 112-nucleotide small RNA is filed under the name Marmota monax (woodchuck). The record is from RNAcentral. Lineage: Eukaryota; Metazoa; Chordata; Mammalia; Rodentia; Sciuridae.
GCUAGGCAUGACGGCAUGUGCCUGUAGUCCCAGCUACUCAGGAGGCUGAGGUAAGAAGAUCCUUUGAGCCAGAGUUCAAGAUCAGCCUGGGCAACAAAGAGGGCCCCUUCUU